Molecule: ribosomal RNA, 497 nt
Filed under: uncultured bacterium
Lineage: Bacteria
Description: partial 16S ribosomal RNA
Rfam family: Bacterial small subunit ribosomal RNA
Source: RNAcentral
GAUGAACGCUGGCGGCGUGCCUAAUACAUGCAAGUCGAGCGAACAGACGAGGAGCUUGCUCCUCUGGCGUUAGCGGCGGACGGGUGAGUAACACGUGGAUAACCUGCCUAGAAGCCGGGGAUAACUUCUGGAAACCGUAGCUAAUACCGCAUAAUAUAUUGAACCGCAUGGUUCAAUAGUGAAAGACGGUUUUGCUGUCACUUAUAGAGGGAUCCCCGCCGCAUUAGCUAUUUGGUAAGUUACCGGCUUACCAAGGCAACGAUGCGUAGCUGACCUGAGAGGGUGAUCGGCAACACUGGACCUGAGAAACGGCCCAGACUCCUCCGGGAGGCACCAGAAGGGAAUCUUCGGAAAGGGGGGAAAGCCUGCCGGAGCAAGGCCGCGUGAGUGAUGAAGGUCUUCGGAUCGUAAACCUCUGUUAUUAGGGAAGAACAAAUGUGUAAGUAAAUAUGCACGUCUUGACGGUACCUAAUCAGAAAGCCACGGCUAACUACGUG